GACGAACGCUGGCGGCGUGCUUAACACAUGCAAGUCGAACGAAGAGCGAUGGAAGCUUGCUUCUAUCAAUCUUAGUGGCGAGCGGGUGAGUAACGCGUAAUCAACCUGCCCUUCAGAGGGGGACAACAGUUGGAAACGACUGCUAAUACCGCAUACGAUCUAAACUCGGCAUCGAGGAUAGAUGAAAGGUGGCCUCUACAUGUAAGCUAUCACUGAAGGAGGGGAUUGCGUCUGAUUAGCUAGUUGGAGGGGUAACGGCCCACCAAGGCGAUGAUCAGUAGCCGGUCUGAGAGGAUGAACGGCCACAUUGGGACUGAGACACGGCCCAGACUCCUACGGGAGGCAGCAGUGGGGAAUCUUCCGCAAUGGACGAAAGUCUGACGGAGCAACGCCGCGUGAGUGAUGACGGCCUUCGGGUUGUAAAGCUCGGUUAAUCGGGACGAAAGGCCUUCUUGCGAAUAGUGAGAAGGAUUGACGGUACCGGAAUAGAAAGCCACGGCUAACUACGUG
This 510-nucleotide ribosomal RNA is filed under the name uncultured bacterium. Its description in RNAcentral is "partial 16S ribosomal RNA". It matches the Rfam family "Bacterial small subunit ribosomal RNA", at positions 28 to 507 of the family's 1533-position model. The record is from RNAcentral.